Molecule: ribosomal RNA, 278 nt
Filed under: uncultured bacterium
Lineage: Bacteria
Description: partial 16S ribosomal RNA
Rfam family: Bacterial small subunit ribosomal RNA
Source: RNAcentral
UGCCAGCCGCCGCGGUAAUACGGGGGGAGCAAGCGUUGUCCGGAUUUACUGGGUGUAAAGGUGCGUAGGCGGACAAGUCAGUCAGUGGUUAAAUCUCCCAGCUCAACUGGGAACUAUCCGUUGAUACUGCUUGUCUUGAGUACUAGAGAGAAGAGUGGAAUUCCGAGUGUAGCGGUGAAAUGCGUAGAUAUUCGGAAGAACACCAGUGGCGUAGGCGGCUUUCUGGUCUGUAACUGACGCUGAGAUACGAAAGCCAGGGGAGCGAACGGGAUUAGAUA